Molecule: long non-coding RNA, 173 nt
Organism: Hibiscus syriacus
Lineage: Eukaryota; Viridiplantae; Streptophyta; Magnoliopsida; Malvales; Malvaceae
Exons: 3
Source: RefSeq, a predicted model, not a curated record
GAGGUGGCUAUGAUAUCGGAUUUGACCCCAUUUCCGGCAAAUAGAUAUAUAGCGACUUUGACUCCGCCUAUCGAAAGAUAUAUUGAGAAGGUUAAGGAAGCGGCUAAUAAUAGUAACGCCAAGCAGAAGCUUACGUGAAGGCGAGGAGGAAGAUCAUAAUUUUUUGAAAGAAA